GUUUUUUCAUUUAAAUGAAUCAAAAAAAUCGUUUGUAAAUAUGAAUUUUUUUAAACUUUAUUAUAAGAGU
Molecule: small nucleolar RNA, 70 nt
Filed under: Leptospira interrogans serovar Bataviae str. UI 08561
Lineage: Bacteria; Pseudomonadati; Spirochaetota; Leptospiria; Leptospirales; Leptospiraceae
Description: putative Small nucleolar RNA U2-30
Source: RNAcentral